CCUACGGGAGGCAGCAGUGAGGAAUAUUGGUCAAUGGGCGCGAGACUGAACCAGCCAAGUAGCGUGAAGGAUGAAUGCCCUACGGGUUGUAAACUUCUUUUAUAAAGGAAUAAAGAGAGGCACGUGUGCCUUUUUGUGUGUACUUUAUGAAUAAGGAUCGGCUAACUCCGUGCCAGCAGCCGCGGUAAUACGGAGGAUCCGAGCGUUAUCCGGAUUUAUUGGGUUUAAAGGGGGCGUAGACGGGUUGUUAAGUCAGUGGUGAAAGUUUGCGGCUCAACCGUAAAAGUGCAAUUGAUACUGGCAGUCUUGAGUACAGUUGAGGUAGGCGGAAUGCGUGGUGUAGCGGUGAAAUGCAUAGAUAUCACGAAGAACUCCGAUUGCGAAGGCAGCUUACUAAACUGCCACUGACAUUGAUGCUCGAAAGUGUGGGUAUCAAACAGGAUUAGAUACCCGGGUAGUC
This 460-nucleotide ribosomal RNA is filed under the name uncultured bacterium. RNAcentral's name for it is "partial 16S ribosomal RNA". It matches the Rfam family "Bacterial small subunit ribosomal RNA", at positions 338 to 795 of the family's 1533-position model. The record is from RNAcentral.